AUCAUUUCUCGGCCUUUUGGCUAAGAUCAAGUGUAAUUCUUCACCAAAUCUGAACUAUUUAAUAUUUUAAAAUAAAUUUUUAGAAAAGGAAAUCUCA
This is a small nuclear RNA of Oryctolagus cuniculus (rabbit), 97 nucleotides long. Its record names the gene U2. It matches the Rfam family "U2 spliceosomal RNA". From Rfam's summary of the family: U2 is a small nuclear RNA (snRNA) component of the spliceosome (involved in pre-mRNA splicing). Complementary binding between U2 snRNA (in an area lying towards the 5' end but 3' to hairpin I) and the branchpoint sequence (BPS) of the intron results the bulging out of an unpaired adenosine, on the BPS, which initiates a nucleophilic attack at the intronic 5' splice site, thus starting the first of two transesterification reactions that mediate splicing. NCBI's taxonomy places the organism in Eukaryota, Metazoa, Chordata, Mammalia, Lagomorpha, Leporidae. The record is from Ensembl.